UGAAGGCACUUAGGACCAAAUGGGUUCAUCAUCCUUGUCAAAGAGCCUGCAUACAGGUUAUUCCAAGCUUCACCUGGGUUUGUGAACUUCAAGGUGUCUACCACAUAAAUCUUUGGUGACUGAAAUACGGAACAGCCUGGAUUCAAGUCCUCUUGACUUUGCUCUUACUUAAGACACUUGGGUUUUUGUAAGUUUUUGAAAUAAAAACAUGGCUUGUGAUUCCUUGAAUGAUUCUCUCAAAUCGCUCAUAUGUGUAAGUGGUUCCUUACCAAGACAUAGAAGAUUGAUGCCUUCUUAUGAUCUUCCUACCUCUAAAAGUUUUAUCUGGAUUUUUGCGUAGGUAUAAAAGGUGGGCAUACUUUCAGCACAUAUGUUGCGAAGUCAAAAACCGGACCACCAGUAGAUACAAGCCUUAUGCCUUGAUUCAGAUUGUGCAAAUGUGUGGAAAUUGUUUGUGGCAUUGAUGGAAAUCCUAAUUCUAAAUAUUUUUUGUCACUCCUUUCUACAUCAUGACUCUCUUUUAUUUUGAAGGAUAAAAGAGAGAGAGAGAGAGGAAAACAUAUGGGCUCUAUCUUGUGUAUAUUUCUCCAUCUUUUCUUUUUUUCAUGACGGGGACAUUUGAUUUUUUUUCCCAUCUAUGCCUCUUUGUUUUUUUCCUUUGAAUUUUUUUUCAACUAUAGCCCAUAUGUCUUGAUGAAUGGAAUCAGAGAAAUUUAAAGAGAUGUCAUGAGGACAAAAAGUAAGGAGUGAAUUUGGGGAUGCACAAAUCUCAGGAUGAGAGUUUAGCAUUUUUAUUUGGUGGAAAGCUAAGGCACAACUCUCAGGAUAAGAGUUGGCAAAAUUUUUGGUGGAUGGAAGGGUGCAUGUUGUGCGCGACUUCUUAGUGUAAGAGUCGGCUUUAUUUGGUGGGUGUAAGUGAAUCUCUAAUCAUGGGCGUAAGACCAUAAUCUCGCUUGGGUCACAACAAUUUGACAAAGCUCAAUAUACUACAAGCAGCAUAUGACUGAAGGUUUCAUCAUGAUCAACGUAUAUUUGGCGUUGGUAGGUGAAAGCUUAAAACCAUUAAAGGAAACUUGCCAUGUGUAACUUUUGUUUUUGAUAAAAUAAAUCCCAAGUACUUUGUAAGAAUUUAGCAAGAAUCAUGUCAUCCUACUAUAUCACAUAUGUCAAUUACUUAGAUAAAGUGGGGUCCCUACUACAAGUGUUCAUAACCUCAAGGAUAUUAGCAAGGAUUAAACCAUAUGCAAAAGCAAAUUUGAAACUAGGAGACAUGUUAAACGGAGUUUGAAGGUAACAAUAUUUAAAAUAUUUUAUUUUUGAAAAACUUUUUAGAAGGGGGAGAAGGUUGUGCAAACCGAGUUCUCGAAGAUUCCCUCCCCCACACUUGUUUUCUUCUCUGUCAUGGUUAGUCAUAAUAUAUAAAGAAAACAAGUGCUCAUGAUAACUCAGAAAUAUUAUUGAUAACUUUGAAAAGGCACAUUACAUUAUUGAAGGGAAAUAAAUUAAGCAACAAAGAAGAUCAUGCUUGUGCCUAAACAAAGAGAAGCGUGCAGCAGAUGUGGUCUAAAGAUUUUCCACGAGGCGACCAACACCUAGGUCUUCAGCGACCUUUCUCAGCUUAUUGUUGAACCUGAAACGAAACCUAUUGAUAUCGUCGCUGAGGUUCCUAAUCUCAGUAUGCUUCUCUUCUAGGUCGUCUUCUAAAACCCUUAGGAC
Molecule: long non-coding RNA, 1716 nt
Filed under: Sorghum bicolor (sorghum)
Lineage: Eukaryota; Viridiplantae; Streptophyta; Magnoliopsida; Poales; Poaceae
Description: long non-coding RNA (SBIC_LNC011155)
Source: RNAcentral